RNAcentral lists this ribosomal RNA (1199 nucleotides) under Enterobacter ludwigii. RNAcentral describes it as "bacterial SSU rRNA". It matches the Rfam family "Bacterial small subunit ribosomal RNA", at positions 90 to 1285 of the family's 1533-position model. The record is from RNAcentral. Lineage: Bacteria; Pseudomonadati; Pseudomonadota; Gammaproteobacteria; Enterobacterales; Enterobacteriaceae.
GGCGAGCGGCGGACGGGUGAGUAAUGUCUGGGAAACUGCCUGAUGGAGGGGGAUAACUACUGGAAACGGUAGCUAAUACCGCAUAACGUCGCAAGACCAAAGAGGGGGACCUUCGGGCCUCUUGCCAUCAGAUGUGCCCAGAUGGGAUUAGCUAGUAGGUGGGGUAACGGCUCACCUAGGCGACGAUCCCUAGCUGGUCUGAGAGGAUGACCAGCCACACUGGAACUGAGACACGGUCCAGACUCCUACGGGAGGCAGCAGUGGGGAAUAUUGCACAAUGGGCGCAAGCCUGAUGCAGCCAUGCCGCGUGUAUGAAGAAGGCCUUCGGGUUGUAAAGUACUUUCAGCGGGGAGGAAGGCGGUGAGGUUAAUAACCUCAUCGAUUGACGUUACCCGCAGAAGAAGCACCGGCUAACUCCGUGCCAGCAGCCGGCGGUAAUACGGAGGGUGCAAGCGUUAAUCGGAAUUACUGGGCGUAAAGCGCACGCAGGCGGUCUGUCAAGUCGGAUGUGAAAUCCCCGGGCUCAACCUGGGAACUGCAUUCGAAACUGGCAGGCUAGAGUCUUGUAAAGGGGGGUAGAAUUCCAGGUGUAGCGGUGAAAUGCGUAAAGAUCUGGAGGAAUACCGGUGGCGAAGGCGGCCCCCUGGACAAAGACUGACGCUCAGGUGCGAAAGCGUGGGGAGCAAACAGGAUUAGAUACCCUGGUAGUCCACGCCGUAAACGAUGUCGACUUGGAGGUUGUGCCCUUGAGGCGUGGCUUCCGGAGCUAACGCGUUAAGUCGACCGCCUGGGGAGUACGGCCGCAAGGUUAAAACUCAAAUGAAUUGACGGGGGCCCGCACAAGCGGUGGAGCAUGUGGUUUAAUUCGAUGCAACGCGAAGAACCUUACCUACUCUUGACAUCCAGAGAACUUUCCAGAGAUGGAUUGGUGCCUUCGGGAACUCUGAGACAGGUGCUGCAUGGCUGUCGUCAGCUCGUGUUGUGAAAUGUUGGGUUAAGUCCCGCAACGAGCGCAACCCUUAUCCUUUGUUGCCAGCGGUUCGGCCGGGAACUCAAAGGAGACUGCCAGUGAUAAACUGGAGGAAGGUGGGGAUGACGUCAAGUCAUCAUGGCCCUUACGAGUAGGGCUACACACGUGCUACAAUGGCGCAUACAAAGAGAAGCGACCUCGCGAGAGCAAGCGGACCUCAUAAAGUGCG